UUCCUUGUCGGGUAAGUUCCGACCUGCACGAAUGGCAUAAUGAUGGCAGCGCUGUCUCCAGCAGAGACUCAGUGAAAUCGAAAUCGCAGUGAAGAUGCUGUGUACCCGCGGCUAGACGGAAAGACCCCGUGAACCUUUACUACAGCUUUACAUUGAACUUUGACCUAACUUGUGUAGGAUAGGUGGGAGGCUUUGAAGCAGAUACGCCAGUAUUUGUGGAGCCAACCUUGAAAUACCACCCUGGUUAUGUUGGGGUUCUAACUUAGGAUCAACAAAUCCAAGGACAAUGUAUGGUGGGUAGUUUGACUGGGGCGGUCUCCUCCUAAAGAGUAACGGAGGAGUACGAAGGUGCGCUCAGAACGGUCGGAAAUCGUUCAAAGAGUAUAAAGGCAAAAGCGCGCUUAACUGCGAGACCCACAAGUCGAGCAGGUACGAAAGUAGGUCUUAGUGAUCCGGUGGUUCUGUAUGGAAGGGCCAUCGCUCAACGGAUAAAAGGUACUCUGGGGAUAACAGGCUGAUACCGCCCAAGAGUUCAUAUCGACGGCGGUGUUUGGCACCUCGAUGUCGGCUCAUCUCAUCCUGGGGCUGAAGCAGGUCCCAAGGGUAUGGCUGUUCGCCAUUUAAAGAGGUACGCGAGCUGGGUUUAGAACGUCGUGAGACAGUUCGGUCCCUAUCUACCGUGGGCGUUGGAAAUUUGAGAGGAUCUGCUCCUAGUACGAGAGGACCAGAGUGGACGAACCUCUGGUGUUUCGGUUGUCACGCCAGUGGCAUUGCCGAGUAGCUAUGUUCGGAUGGGAUAACCGCUGAAAGCAUCUAAGCGGGAAGCCCACCUCAAGAUAAGAUUUCCCUAAAGAGCCGUUGUAGACGACGACGUUGAUAGGUUGGGUGUGGAAGUGUAGUGAUACAUGUAGCUAACCAAUACUAAUUGCUCGUUUGGCUUGACCAUACAACACCCAAGUGGUUUACCACUGACUGUGUUGAUUGGUAAUAUGUAAGAUGAACCUUAAUCUUGAUUUGGUAAUAAACAGACUCAUACAGCGUUGUUAAUCCUUUUACGCUGACGACAAUAGCAAGAUGGAACCACCUGAUCCCUUCCCGAACUCA
Molecule: ribosomal RNA, 1104 nt
Filed under: Moraxella catarrhalis
Lineage: Bacteria; Pseudomonadati; Pseudomonadota; Gammaproteobacteria; Moraxellales; Moraxellaceae
Description: bacterial LSU rRNA
Rfam family: Bacterial large subunit ribosomal RNA (bases 1-946)
Source: RNAcentral